RNAcentral lists this long non-coding RNA (1500 nucleotides) under Phascolarctos cinereus (koala). Its description in RNAcentral is "lncRNA (ENSPCIG00000015883.2)". The record is from RNAcentral. Lineage: Eukaryota; Metazoa; Chordata; Mammalia; Diprotodontia; Phascolarctidae.
CUCCCUCUGUCUCUCUGUAUCCGUGUCUAACAGAAACGUUUUAUGGCUGGGGUGUGUGUGUGUGUGUGUGUGUGUGUGUGUGUGUGUGUGUGUGUGUGUGUGUGCGCGUGUUGUAGAGGCCCAACUAACCAAUUCCUUUCGGUUUGAUCCUGUCUAGUUUUCCUUCUCGAAUCUCCCGGGAAGUUCAGCCCCUUACUGCGCCAGGCCCCAGAAGCGUCAGGUGCGUUCAAGGCGGGCGGGCCUGGAUGAGUCCGAGUCAGACGAAUUCGACUGAGAAUUUGGUCUUUCGGCAGGGGGCCGGCGGUAGGCAGUACACGCUUCCAGCUUCCCGCUGCUACUACAGAGUAAGUCCGGAGCUAAGAGAAACGAAAUCAGCGAUGGAUGAGAGGGAAGUGAAGCUGGGGGCGGAGGCGGGGAGGGCUGGCAGUGAGCCAGCCCCAGGCCAAGAGCUGGGAGCGUCGGCAGGAGCAAAUCAAGGAAUCAAGGUCGGACGCUGCUAAUCUGGAGCCGAGAAUUUCCCUCUAUCCAUAGACAGGGCCCAAUUAAGUGUGGAAGAGACUAAGAGAAAGGAAGGAAGGACCGAAGAAAUGAAGGAAGAUGAAGGAAUGGAUCGAGGGAAUAACAUAAGGGACCAGAGACAAGACAAAGAGAAGAAGCCAGAUAGUAGAGACGAAGGAAACAGAGAGGGAGGAGGAGCAGACAGAAAGGAGGCCAGGGCAGUUGAGGAGGGACAGGUAGACAAGGCAGAAGGACAAGAGUGAGGAAGGGAACAGAAAGGCACAAGGGAGAGGAAGACACAGCAGAGGACAAGAUAAGAUAGAGGCAGACCUGCCCAAGAAAGACGGACCAAAGAAUGACUAGGCGCAUGAGACUUAGAACUCGAAGGGACCUUAAAGGUCAUGGAGUCCAAAUCUCUCAUUUUACAGAUGAGGAAACUAAGGCUCCAUUAAGGUAAAUCUCUUGCUCCCCCUUCACACAGUGCUGGAGACAGGAUUCGAACCCAGGUUUUCCUCACUUUAAGAGUACCCUCUUAGAGUACCCUCUAUUCGUCACACACUGCCGCUUAGUCAGGAAAAAGAAGAAAGUGAAAACUCAAAAUUUGCCUGGAGCUUUAGUGGAAGAAAGUGAAUUGAGUAGUGAAGUGUCUAGUCAAGAGUGGGGCAAGUCAGUCUUUAUCUCUGGGCUUCUGUCUCCUGAUUUCUAAAACGAGGGAACUGGAGUACGUGAACUCCAAGCUGACAUGUCGGGGUUCUGAUGAUGAGAUUCUCUCAAGGGAAGAAUGAAGAAGGGGCCUGUCUUCUUCUUAGAGCGCCAUUCUAUUCUGCACCUCUACUCCCCUACCCCACUUGUCCCGUGGAAGAAUGAGCCUUCCUCUCCUUCCAUCACCUCCCAGGACUGGGGGCCCCAGGUGAGGACGCAACGACACCGUGAUAAGGCUUCACUCCCAGGAACUCGAAGUACCGCUGGUAAGGGCUAAGCUCGUUCAAACUUCCCCUUGUU